Molecule: ribosomal RNA, 465 nt
Filed under: uncultured bacterium
Lineage: Bacteria
Description: bacterial SSU rRNA
Rfam family: Bacterial small subunit ribosomal RNA
Source: RNAcentral
GGGCCCGCACAAGCGGUGGAGCAUGUGGCUUAAUUCGAGGCAACGCGAAGAACCUUACCUGGACUUGAAAUAUAUAGGACAGUCUAUGAAAGUAGAUCUUCCUUCGGGACCUUUAUACAGGUGCUGCAUGGCUGUCGUCAGCUCGUGCUGUGAGGUGUUCGGUUAAGUCCGGCAACGAGCGCAACCCGUGUCAUUAGUUACCAGCGGAUAAAGCCGGGGACUCUAAUGAGACUGCCCGUGUUAAGCGGGAGGAAGGCGCGGAUGACGUCAAGUCAGUAUGGCCCUUACGUCCAGGGCUGCACACGUGCUACAAUGGCCGGUACAAUGGGACGCAAAACUGCGAAGUGGAGCAAAUCCACAAAACCGGUCUUAGUUCGGAUUGUAGUCUGCAACUCGACUACAUGAAGUUGGAAUCGCUAGUAAAGGCGUAUCAGCUACGACGCCUUGAAUACGUUCCCGGGCCUU